GUCGAGAAUCUUUCACAAUGGGGGCAACCCUGAUGGAGCGACGCCGCGUGGAGGAUAAGGUCUUCGGAUUGUAAACUCCUGUCAUGCGUGAACAAGGUUGCUUGGUUAAUACCUGGGCAAAUUGAUGGUAACGCAAGAGGAAGAGACGGCUAACUCUGUGCCAGCAGCCGCGGUAAUACAGAGGUCUCAAGCGUUGUUCGGAAUCACUGGGCGUAAAGGGUGCGUAGGUGGCGUGGUAAGUCAGAUGUGAAAGCCCGGAGCUCAACCUCGGAAAUGCAUCCGAUACUGCCAUGCUAGAGUACUGGAGAGGUGACUAGAAUUCUCGGUGUAGCAGUGAAAUGCGUAGAUAUCGAGAGGAAUACCAAAGGCGUAGGCAGGUCACUGGACAGUUACUGACACUGAGGCACGAAGGCCAGGGGAGCGAACGGGAUUAGAAACCCGGGUAGUCC
This 449-nucleotide ribosomal RNA is filed under the name uncultured bacterium. RNAcentral's name for it is "partial 16S ribosomal RNA". It matches the Rfam family "Bacterial small subunit ribosomal RNA", at positions 354 to 796 of the family's 1533-position model. The record is from RNAcentral.